ACGCACUGUAAAGACAGCGUUAAAGCUCAACAAUUAAACAAUAUUUAAUUCCAUCAACAAAUUAACCAACUCCUAGACCCACUACUGGACUAUUCUAUUAAAAAAUAGAAGCAAUAAUGUUAAUAUGAGUAACGAGAAACAACUUCUCCCCGCAUAAGUUUAAGUCAGUAUCUGAUAAUACCCUGACUAUUAACAGUAAAUAAAAAUAACCCAAAAAUAAACAAUUUAUUCACCAUACUGUUAAUCCAACACAGGAGUGCACCCAGGAAAGAUUAAAAGAAGUAAAAGGAACUCGGCAAACACAAACCCCGCCUGUUUACCAAAAACAUCACCUCCAGCAUUCCCAGUAUUGGAGGCACUGCCUGCCCAGUGACAAAAGUUAAACGGCCGCGGUAUCCUGACCGUGCAAAGGUAGCAUAAUCAUUUGUUCUUUAAAUAAGGACCUGUAUGAAUGGCCACACGAGGGUUUUACUGUCUCUUACUUCCAAUCAGUGAAAUUGACCUUCCCGUGAAGAGGCGGGAAUAAGAAAAUAAGACGAGAAGACCCUAUGGAGCUUUAACUAGUUAGCUUAAAGAAAAAAACUUUACCACCAAGGGAUAACACUAAUCUUAAUAAACUAACAGUUUCGGUUGGGGUGACCUCGGAGAAUAAAAAAUCCUCCGAGCGAUUUUAAAAACAAGACACACAAGUCAAAUUGAACUAUCGCUUAUUGAUCCAAAAAUUUGAUCAACGGAACAAGUUACCCUAGGGAUAACAGCGCAAUCCUAUUCAAGAGUCCAUAUCGACAAUAGGGUUUACGACCUCGAUGUUGGAUCAGGACACCCCGAUGGUGCAACCGCUAUCAAAGGUUCGUUUGUUCAACGAUUAAAGUCCUACGU
RNAcentral lists this ribosomal RNA (879 nucleotides) under Gazella subgutturosa marica (sand gazelle). Its description in RNAcentral is "partial 16S ribosomal RNA". It matches the Rfam family "Bacterial large subunit ribosomal RNA", at positions 1396 to 2601 of the family's 2925-position model. The record is from RNAcentral. Lineage: Eukaryota; Metazoa; Chordata; Mammalia; Artiodactyla; Bovidae.